RNAcentral lists this long non-coding RNA (938 nucleotides) under Junco hyemalis (dark-eyed junco). RNAcentral describes it as "lncRNA (ENSJHYG00000014962.1)". The record is from RNAcentral. Lineage: Eukaryota; Metazoa; Chordata; Aves; Passeriformes; Passerellidae.
CACUUCUAGCAUGUCUCCCCACUCCUUCCCCUCUUCCUGCUCUUCCAACACCUAUCCACACACUCUCCUUGUUUUCUACCUCAGGUUUGCCAAUUCCCCAUCAAACACUGACUCUCGCCUGAUCAGCCCACUCCGCUGCUCCCUGUGCCUGCUCCCCACGGAGCCACUGCCUGUCGGCCUCACCUUCUCCCACUGCCCUGGUGGCCUCUUGGCGGUCCUGCUUCCGCAACAAGGAGCUUACGUUCCCCGGUAAUUUUUGCAUCUUAACACAACCUUCAGGUACAGACACAGAAAGGGCAAGUCAGGAGAGUUGUCAUGUCCAGUGGAGGAACUUGAGCAGAAUGACCGGGCAACCACCAACACAACCCAUCUGCCCUGUUCCAACCAGGAACGUGGCUGUGACAUUUCACCCUCUAUGGGAAGGGAUGUCAUAGUGACCUUCCCCAGGCAUUCCAUAACAGCCAAGGACACUGCUCAAAGUCCACACUGUGUACAGACAUGAGAAGACACAGAUGGUCUGGUUGCUUAAUUACUCUCCCCUAUUUAUAAAUGGUCUUUUCCAUGGCUGUUUCAGAUCCACACCUUGACAAAUACCUUUUCUCUCCAAAUUAAUGGGAACUUUUUAUUUAGCAAAGUGCUACCCAGUGUGUCUCAGUAUGCUAGGCAGCAGCACACCCAUUACCCUCUGCUUACUGCACACCCCUGGGGUGGCAGAGCUGCACCUCAGGGCACGGGCACCCACACAGCACCUUUGGGCUCCAGCUGGGAGCACCAGAAUGUCUUUACUUUCCCCCACACCCGUAUCUGCAGUCCAGCUGGAUACCAGCUGGAUUAUCCUGCCCUCUCAACCUACACACCUGGUGAGAUCUCAGUGCCUAAUUGAUGUGUUCCUCCCCAAAGACUAAAACAAUAAAAAUAAAUAAUACAACUCGCUUUCA